Molecule: ribosomal RNA, 730 nt
Filed under: Plasmodium ovale wallikeri
Lineage: Eukaryota; Apicomplexa; Aconoidasida; Haemosporida; Plasmodiidae
Description: SSU rRNA
Rfam family: Eukaryotic small subunit ribosomal RNA
Source: RNAcentral
UUUUUGUGUCUUACGUAUGUACUUGUUAGCCUUUAAGAGAAAAGUUUACAACUUAAGGAAUUAUAACAAAGAAGUAACACAUAAUAAGUUUACCUUAUUUAGUGUGUAUCAAUCGAGUUUCUGACCUAUCAGCUUUUGAUGUUAGGGUAUUGGCCUAACAUGGCUAUGACGGGUAACGGGGAAUUAGAGUUCGAUUCCGGAGAGGGAGCCUGAGAAAUAGCUACCACAUCUAAGGAAGGCAGCAGGCGCGUAAAUUACCCAAUUCUAAAGAAGAGAGGUAGUGACAAGAAAUAACAAUACAAGGCCAUUUCAUGGUUUUGUAAUUGGAAUGAUGGGAAUUUAAAACCUUCCCAAAAUUCAAUUGGAGGGCAAGUCUGGUGCCAGCAGCCGCGGUAAUUCCAGCUCCAAUAGCGUAUAUUAAAAUUGUUGCAGUUAAAACGCUCGUAGUUGAAUUUCAAAGAAUCAAUAUUUUAAGUAAUGCUUUUGGUUUAAGAUGCUUAGACAAUACAACGUAUCUGCUCUUUGCAUUCCUUAUCCAAAAUGUGUUCUUAUUAUAAAAAGGAUUCUUUUUAAAAUCUCCUCUACUUUCUUGUACUGGAGAUUUUGUUACUUUGAGUAAAUUAGAGUGUUCAAAGCAAACAGUUAAAGCAUUUUACUGCGUUUGAAUACUACAGCAUGGAAUAACAAAAUUGAACAAGUCAAAAUUCUGUUCCUUUUUCUUAUUUUGGCU